CGUGAAAUUGUUGAAAGGGAAGCGCUUGUGACCAGACUUGGGCGCGGCGGAUCAUCCGGGGUUCUCUCCGGUGCACUUCGCCGCGUCUAGGCCAGCAUCAGUUCGUCGCGGGGGAAAAAGGUUUCGGGAACGUAGCUCCUCCGGGAGUGUUAUAGCCCGUUGCAUAAUACCCUGCGGUGGACUGAGGACCGCGCAUCUGCAAGGAUGCUGGCGUAAUGGUCACCAGCGACCCGUCUUGAAACACGG
This 246-nucleotide ribosomal RNA is filed under the name Trichoderma spirale. RNAcentral's name for it is "partial large subunit ribosomal RNA". It matches the Rfam family "Eukaryotic large subunit ribosomal RNA", at positions 398 to 664 of the family's 3401-position model. Lineage: Eukaryota; Fungi; Ascomycota; Sordariomycetes; Hypocreales; Hypocreaceae. The record is from RNAcentral.